GGGCAGGUAGUCUAGUUUGGUAUGAUUCCUGGUUCGGGACCAGGCGGUCGAGAGUUCAAAUCUCUCCCUGCCCACCA
This 77-nucleotide transfer RNA is filed under the name Candidatus Heimdallarchaeota archaeon. Its description in RNAcentral is "tRNA-Pro". It matches the Rfam family "tRNA". From Rfam's summary of the family: Transfer RNA (tRNA) molecules are approximately 80 nucleotides in length. Their secondary structure includes four short double-helical elements and three loops (D, anti-codon, and T loops). The record is from RNAcentral. RNAcentral also lists the same sequence under 1 other name. Lineage: Archaea; Promethearchaeati; Candidatus Heimdallarchaeota.